Molecule: ribosomal RNA, 520 nt
Filed under: uncultured bacterium
Lineage: Bacteria
Description: bacterial SSU rRNA
Rfam family: Bacterial small subunit ribosomal RNA
Source: RNAcentral
GGGAAUCUACCCAGAUCUACGGAACAACAGAGGGAAACUUCUGCUAAUACCGUAUACGCCCUACGGGGGAAAGAUUUAUCGGAUUUGGAUGAGCCCGCGUAAGAUUAGCUAGUUGGUGAGGUAAUGGCUCACCAAGGCGACGAUCUUUAGCUGGUCUGAGAGGAUGAUCAGCCACACUGGGACUGAGACACGGCCCAGACUCCUACGGGAGGCAGCAGUGGGGAAUAUUGGACAAUGGGCGCAAGCCUGAUCCAGCCAUGCCGCGUGAGUGAUGAAGGCCUUAGGGUUGUAAAGCUCUUUCAGUGGGGAAGAUAAUGACGGUACCCACAGAAGAAGCCCCGGCUAACUUCGUGCCGGCAGCCGCGGUAAUACGAAGGGGGCUAGCGUUGUUCGGAUUUACUGGGCGUAAAGCGCACGUAGGCGGUUUGUUAAGUCAGAGGUGAAAUCCUGGAGCUCAACUCCAGAACUGCCUUUGAUACUGGCAAGCUCGAGUCCGGAAGAGGUAAGUGGAACUCCUAGU